AACGAACGCUGGCGGCAGGCUUAACACAUGCAAGUCGAACGAGACCUUCGGAUCUAGUGGCAGACGGGUGAGGAACACGUGGGAACAUCCCUUUCAGUUCGGAAUAACGUUGGGAAACUAACGCUAAUACCGGAUACGUCCUUCGGGAGAAAGAUGUAUCGCUGAAAGAUUGGCCCGCGUCUGAUUAGCUAGUUGGUGAGGUAAUGGCUCACCAAGGCUACGAUCAGUAGCUGAUCUGAGAGGAUGAUCAGCCACAUUGGGACUGAGACACGGCCAAGACUCCUACGGGAGGCAGCAGUGGGGAAUCUUGGACAAUGGCCGCAAGCAUGAUCCAGCGAUGCCGCGUGAGUGAUGACGGCCUUCGGGUUGUAAAGCUCUUUUGUCCGGGAAGAUAAUGACUGUACCGGAAGAAUAAGCCCCGGCAAACUUCGUGCCAGCCGCCGCCGUAA
Molecule: ribosomal RNA, 449 nt
Filed under: uncultured bacterium
Lineage: Bacteria
Description: partial 16S ribosomal RNA
Rfam family: Bacterial small subunit ribosomal RNA
Source: RNAcentral